GCCCAGACCCAGGUUCAAUCCUUGGUGGUGGAACAAAGAUUCUACAAGCCACAUGUAGCACAGCCCCACCCUCCCCUGACAAAAAAGGGAUAACUAAGGUGGUUUAACAUGGGAACGAAACCCUGUGGAUAUUUCCUAAUGGUGGCUAAUACUUGUUGUGAUAAAUAUUGUGCUUGAUAAGGCAUUAGAGUCUAUAUGAGGUAUUAUUUAUUUAACUCUGACAACAAUCCUAAAGUGAAUGUUAUUCCUAUCUUAUAAAUGAAGCAAUUGAAGUUUAGAGGUUAUGUUACUAGAGUCACAUAGACAUUUAAUUCUAGAAACUAUCUUUCAUAAGGCUGACUGGCACCUCUGCAAGAGAAGUCUUCAUUGCUGACUAUGAGACAAGAUGAGUUUUACUGGAAAACCUUUUUCUUCUUUUCACCAUCCAUACGCAUCUGACCCUCGGGAAGUUCACAGAAACGGUGGAAGCCAAAUAGGUGGCUCAGCAGGAAGAGGAUGCAGCAAUUAACACACAAUCAGAUGAUUAAAAGGCUCAUGAGUCUUAGCAAAAUAUACUUGAAACAAUAAAGGGUACAAUACAAUAGAAGAAAGAGAACCCAAGCAAACAUCAAAGAGGUCGAA
Molecule: long non-coding RNA, 621 nt
Organism: Bos taurus (domestic cattle)
Lineage: Eukaryota; Metazoa; Chordata; Mammalia; Artiodactyla; Bovidae
Source: Ensembl